RNAcentral lists this ribosomal RNA (543 nucleotides) under uncultured bacterium. RNAcentral's name for it is "bacterial SSU rRNA". It matches the Rfam family "Bacterial small subunit ribosomal RNA", at positions 358 to 916 of the family's 1533-position model. The record is from RNAcentral.
GGAAUUUUCGUCAAUGGGGGAAACCCUGAACGAGCAACGCCGCGUGGAGGAUGACGGUCUUCGGAUUGUAAACUCCUUUUGUGAGGGACGAUAAUGACGGUACCUCGCGAAUAAGCCCCGGCUAACUCUGUGCCAGCAGCCGCGGUAAUACAGAGGGGGCAAGCGUUGUCCGGAGUUACUGGGCGUAAAGCGCACGUAGGCGGUCCUGCAAGUGGUGUGUGAAACCAAUCAGCUUAACUGAUUGACGCCAUGCCAAACUGCAGGACUCGAGUCAUGGAGAGGUAGUUCGAAUUGCUGGUGUAGUGGUGAAAUGCGUAGAUAUCAGCAGGAAGACCAAGGGAGAAAUCAGACUACUGGCCAUGAACUGACGCUCAGGUGCGAAAGCGUGGGGAGCGAACUGGAUUAGAUACCCAGGUAGUCCACGCCGUAAACGAUGUAUGCUCGGUAUUUGGGCCUGUUAAGGGCUUGGGUACCUCAGGUAACCCGGUAAGCAUACCGCCUGGGAAGUACGAACGCAAGUUUAAAACUCAAAUGAAUUGACGG